GCAGAAGUCUCUGGGAAGGCAGGUGUGGUCUAGAAGAUGAGGCUGCUGGGUCUUGUCCUGUGCCUGGUCACAGCUCCCCAAGGUGUCCUGUGCCAGGUGCAGCUGCAGGAGUCAGGACCUGGCCUGGUGAAGCCCUCGCAGACCCUGUCCCUCACCUGUGCUGUCUCUGGUUACUCCAUCACCAGUGGUUACUGCUGGAACUGGAUCCAUCAGCCCCCAGGGAAGGGGCUGGAGUGGAUAGGGGACAUAUGUUAUAGUGGUAACACUUACUACAGUCCAUCCCUCAAGAGCCGAGUGUCCAUCUCCAGAGACACGUCCAAGAACCAGUUCUCCCUGCAGCUGAGCUCCCUGACCUCUGAGGACACGGCCACCUAUUACUGUGCCAGAGACACAGUGAGGGGACCUCAGUGUUGUGAAAAGGUGGUGGGUGUGGUGAAGGACUUCCCAGAUAUGAAGCACCUGGACGUUUCUCUCAUGUGGACUCUGCUGCUGGAUGAAGAGCUGCUCUACCUGGGCUUCUACCCAGAGCUGCUAUAG
This is a non-coding RNA of Marmota monax (woodchuck), 537 nucleotides long. The record is from the annotation of a RefSeq genome assembly. NCBI's taxonomy places the organism in Eukaryota, Metazoa, Chordata, Mammalia, Rodentia, Sciuridae.